This 203-nucleotide long non-coding RNA is filed under the name Phoenix dactylifera (date palm). RNAcentral's name for it is "long non-coding RNA (PDAC_LNC016400)". Lineage: Eukaryota; Viridiplantae; Streptophyta; Magnoliopsida; Arecales; Arecaceae. The record is from RNAcentral.
UUGGCAGUGAACAAUCUGAGUAUGUGCAUAUUGAGUCAGUGUUUUUUUUUUAUUUUUAAUGAGUGUUUUCCUCUUAUUCAAUCUUCUGGAAUUCUAAUUGAUUAUUGGACAAUCAAUUACAGACUACCAUAACCAUCAACCUUUUUCCAACUAUUUAGUGCCAGCUUUAGGACAAUUAGUUAUGAAUAUAAUUUAAAAUCAAG